AGUGGAGGAAAAGAAACUAACAAGGAUUCCCCUAGUAACGGCGAGUGAAGCGGGAAGAGCUCAAAUUUAAAAUCUGGCAGUCUACGAUUGUCCGAAUUGUAAUCUCGAGAAGUGUUUUCCGCGUUGGCCUGUGCACAAGUCCCUUGGAACAGGGCGUCAUAGAGGGUGAGAAUCCCGUCCUUGGCACAGAUACCCAAUGCUUUGUGAUACACUCUCAAUGAGUCGAGUUGUUUGGGAAUGCAGCUCAAAAUGGGAGGUAAAUUCCUUCUAAAGCUAAAUACUGGCGAGAGACCGAUAGCGAACAAGUACCGUGAGGGAAAGAUGAAAAGCACUUUGGAAAGAGAGUCAAACAGUACGUGAAAUUGUUGAAAGGGAAACGAUUGAAGUCAGUCGUGCCUGCCUAGAUUCAGCCUUCUGGUGUAUUUCUAGGUCGGCAGGUCAGCAUCAGUUUGGGAGGGUUAACAAGGGGAUUAGGAAUGUGGCAACCUCGGUUGUGUUAUAGCCUAGUUUCGUAUUGAUCUUGCUGGACUGAGGAACGCAGUGCGCCCGCAAGGGUAGGU
This 560-nucleotide ribosomal RNA is filed under the name Cystofilobasidium capitatum. Its description in RNAcentral is "partial large subunit ribosomal RNA". It matches the Rfam family "Eukaryotic large subunit ribosomal RNA", at positions 49 to 617 of the family's 3401-position model. Lineage: Eukaryota; Fungi; Basidiomycota; Tremellomycetes; Cystofilobasidiales; Cystofilobasidiaceae. The record is from RNAcentral.